Molecule: long non-coding RNA, 6387 nt
Organism: Cygnus olor (mute swan)
Lineage: Eukaryota; Metazoa; Chordata; Aves; Anseriformes; Anatidae
Exons: 2
Source: RefSeq, a predicted model, not a curated record
UUUCAUGGAAUAAAUGAUAACUUUCCUCCUGUUCCCCCAUGACUCUGGUAGCCCAGGGACAGAAGAGUUAUAGCCGUAAUUCCGUUUGAAACAAAGCUCAUCAUCUCUCCAACUCCUCACUUCAUAAAAAACAUGAAAAGGUUCUCCCUUCCAUCAAGAAUUAAACACAUUUUCUUACUCCCCCAUCCCACAGGACUGGGAUCCCUCUCUUCCUUUUAUUUUUUCCAUUUUUCAAAGUGUUCUCCUUGCCCUCCUGGCAUCGGAGCAUUUUCUAAGGGCUGUGCCAGGGAAUUCAAAGCACCCACAAGAGGGUGAGGGACCCUCAUCUUCCAUACCAGAAAGAAAGCAGAAUGCCACAUUCUGCCGCCCUCCAAAAGCACUAAAGCAGCAAAGCAAUUCUGAAGCGACCCCUCUGAGCAGGGACGGGAAGCCGCAGCGUAACGGCGGCUUUGCUCCCCAUUAAUCACCAUAAGCUGUCAGUGGCAGCACCCUGCAACACUCACAGGGUUAAGUGAAAUGAUGUGAGAUGGGAUAUGGCCACUUCGACCACAAUCACAAGGAUCCCUGUGCUGGAAUGUGGCUCUUAGGCCUUGUAGGUUGUUACGUGAAAACAUCCUUUAUUUAUCUACCAAUUCUAGAUUGGCUACUUGCUGAAAAGUUGCUUUGGCCCUGCACCACAUUAUGAGAUGCAUCUCUACCCUAGUAUCCCAGAAAAAGUCAAGCAAGGCAAUGUUGAUGGUUGAUUCCUUCAUGAAUUGUGUUGCAGUUCCCUUUACCUUCAAAGAAGUAACCAAAAUUAAUCCUCAGAGAAGUUUUUAAUAUUAAAGUGGGCAUGCAUAAUAGGUGAUACAGUAUUUUAUGGCACUGUAAUAUGCCAGCUAAAAAAGGACCUAGUGAAUUAUAAGAAAAACCCCCAGCAACUGAAAAUGCUCCAAUUUGAACAUUAAUAUUCUAGUAAUGGCUGAAGACAGUGGAAUUUACUGCUUGCACACUGAGCUCAAUGCAAAGCAAAGGACAGUUACAGAAAAUCAUUCAUAUGCUAGAAGUUUCAUUUCUCCUAUUUUGAGAUUAUAAAAAGAAAAGAGAACCCUCCACUGUAUUUGAAAGCAUUUCUGCCACAAUCAACCCUUCUUUCUCCUGAACACUGCUGAAUGUAGUUAGCCCUAAACCCUCAGCAGGCUGGGGUUUAUUCUAAUUCCAGUUCACAUUCCUGCAACUGACGAAGGGAAGUGCAAUGUAUCCCAUCCCACAUGAAUCAAAUACUGCCUCUUCUUCCCCGAAUAUGCAACGCUGCUCCAGUCACUGGGGUUAGGGUUGCUCUAACCCCAGUCCCUAAAGCGAGAGCUUCAAAAGGGUGCUGCAGUUGGCACCUCCAGGUGAACGUGCCCAAGGCAGCAGGGCUGUCUGCUUGCCUAUAUGGCACAUUCUUCCUGCAUCUACUCACUGCAUCCUUCCCCUUAUCUGCACCUCCCCUCUUCCUUCCGUGCCUCCAGCCUACCAACUAAAAUAGGGCUUGACAACCACACAAUAAAUUUUUUAAAGUGUGUGCUUUAGGGAUAUUUCUUCCUUCGAAUAUUUAAUCCAGCUUUUACAAAGGAAUUUAUCCAAUUAUUAAUUCAACAUGAAAAAUGGAAAAAAAAUGUGAUCAGACAAGCCCAAUUUGAAGCCACAUAUUCAGGUAACAAAGCUAUUUUUAGUUACUGUGACAUCCAUUUCAAAACAUAAGGAUAAAGUGAAUGAGAACUAAAAGACUAGCAUCGGCCAGGACUUUGCGCCUCAUCUGAAAAUAGCUAUGUAACACUAACAGUAUGCCCUACCAGCACGCACUCAGCCAGCACAGAUCCAAAAUUGUAUUUCAUGCUGUAUUUCCGAGAGGCACGGCACAGAAUUCAGACCCCGGAGGGAAGGAGGCUGAAGUGAUUACGAGCUACUUCCACAUUCCUCGGUGCUGGGCUGCCCGAAGGCUGGAGCAGCAUCCCAGGCGAGCCAGACCCUUUUGAAAAAUUCACAGUAGCAGUGGCUGACCCCACUGAAACGCCUCUCCAGACCUCCACUCUGCAGCCUGGGCUACGUAAACCAUCCCUUUCACCCCAGCUCAGGCAUUUCUUUGUGCAGAAUGGUUUGCAGAAAAAUCACCGGUGCCUACGUUCCCUAAUUUGUUAUUAUAUAGACUUCUCUUCCAGCCAGAAUUGGGGCAUUUUAAAUAUGUUUACACAAGUCCCCUUUUUUUUUUUUUUUUUUAACGGGCCUGAAUGUGCUGGUGAAGCUUCAAAGACUGUACCUUCAGAUGGGAUACAGUCACAAGCUAAAUCACUACCUGCAGCCCCAUGCGUUUACUGCUUUUCGCUCUUUCAAGUAUUAACUACGUUCAAUUUUCUGCUUAAUUUUAUUCGAUUUUCAAGUGUGUUUAAAAAGAUACCCUACUGCUCUCUUUGAGGGGGUGUAUGCACUGCUUGUGUUGUCCGUGAGUAAGUUCAUUUUGCUUCCUUUCCUCCUAGGACUACUCUCUGUCAUACUGAUUUGUUUUCCCUCUAAUGUUGAGAAAAGGCACUUGUUAUGAAUAUUCAUUUCUAUUGUAAAGUUAGGGACAGCAGAAAUAUAAGCCCUUUCAUUUUAUUCUUCUAUCUCCAAUUUGAUUUAUGUAUAUUUUAUUCAAGAAGGGGGGACUAUUUUGACACCUAUUAUCGUUUAUCAAACAUAGAACUGCUUAAAAUUUUUUGCACUGUACGUAACAAUAGGAAACAUUCCUCAGAAACUUACCUGUGCUGAUCAGUCUCAACACACCACAAACUCAGAGCGUAUUACAACCCGAUCAUGCUCUCUAGACAGAGUUUUGCAAAACAAUUACCAAUUAGCCCAAUGAAAAGUACUCUGAUAAUUAACUUUUUCAUACCGUGUUUUUAGUGCUCUAGUUCAGGAUGUGCUGAACAUGAUCCCUCAGAGCAGCCUCUUUUCCUUCUCACCUCUUUGCACUCAGCCACCUCUCCUCUGCAAGCACAAAUGCCGUGUGUGCGCUUGUGCCACAAUUUAAGCACGUCAUGCAGCUUUCUGCUCACCUGGGUACAUAACAGUCUGUACUGCCUUUCUUCUAUCGGCUGGCAUUAACCUUUAUGCCUUCUGCUUAACAUUAUGUUCUGCAGAACAACCCAAAUGAGUCGCGUAAUGUACACGGAUACAACAACUUCAUACACAUUUAUCACCUCCAGCAGAAGCAAAAGAUAACUUUUCUGAAAAAAAAUUAACCUGUUUUUCUCUUAUGUCACUUUCGACCACAGAGCACUGAUCAAGCGUUAACCGCUUUUUAAAUGGAAGUCUUUUCAUAGCCCAGGCAGCAAUACAAGUCUGGAGAGUGUUGCUAAACUGUAAAUAAUCACAGGGAAAUGGAGCGAUGUAAGCACUACAUCUCACAGUGCCGAUAGCCUGUGCUUCUUGGGAAAGGAAUGAAGCUUUCUUUAUGGGUGAGAAACAGAUUUCUGCCCGUAGAAGUAAUUCCCUAACACUUAUUUUAAUUGAUUACUUCUUUUAAAUGAAGUUUGUGUUUCCCCAGCUAAAUCUUCCCUUGGAAAAGAUAGCCCUGCGCAAGGCAGGGUGGAUGAACGGGCAGGGCAGAACCGUGACUGCGAGCACCACUGCUACGCGUCCCAUGUGUGCGUGGAAAACUCUUGCAAGGCGCCCGUCCCUCCUUCCCCUCCCUCUGCAAGGUCCAGCCCCUGGGGCCGGGCACGCAAUUUAUGACGGUAAGGAACAAGGGAAAGACAAAAUUUCCACUUCAGCCAUCUUUCAUUGUUACUGCUUUUAAUUGUUUUGACAGGGCACUCUAAAAGAAUUGUGCAUUUCUUCUUUUUACCCUCUCUGUUAUUUUAUGCUUCCCUUAGAUAGGGGCUUCUCUGAACUAAAAAAUACAUCAUGCACAUUAAAUAGCACUGAAGUGAUGGCAUGUCUGACCACAACAGAGCUGUGAAGAGUCUCCAGUAAAAACGCAAGCACAUCCCCUUUCACACUGUAAGAGUCAUUCAGUUCCUUCUCGUUGAGAUCCAGGUUAAGCAGACUCAACCGUUUGUGACUAAACCCACAAGAGCUGCACAGUCCCCACCGAACUGAGAGCAAGUACUUUUUGUUAACCUAUCCUGAUUCUCAAAACGUGUAUGCUGACAAGCCUCCACACAGUUUCUUACUCUGUUGGUGCAGGGCACAGCCGUGCCGGAGGCAGGAAGGCGGCAGGGAGGAAGGAGCCCAGCUUAGGGCUGAGCCUCGGUGGAAGAGCACAGGCUGCAGGAUGGGACCCGAGCCCAGGAGCGACGGCACGAGUUUUUCCCGAGUCCAGGGAGUCGCAGGAGGAGGCGAACUCACAGGAAAGCCCACCAUGAAGAUACACCGAAUGCAGAAGACUAUACAUGAUGAAAGGAAAAAGCCACCACCACACGCACCGUGAGUGCAUAUGGCCAAGCCCCGCCACGCUGUGAUGAACACCGGCGCGAUCCAUUCCUAAUGGCGAUUUUCCUUUCUGUUGCAUUCCUUGUUGUAAACUGCGAGUACUGGCUACCCUGCAUACAGCUACGGGAGACUGGCCGGACUUCUGGAGAAUCUGGAAUUUGCUUUUAACAGCACUGGCAUGCUCUUCGUGUGCCUCUGAGGCCUGCAGCCCUGACGUGGGACUAAGACCUGUAGAUAUUUCUAAUCCCACAGACUCCAUUGCACUCACAACUUAGCAAGGCUGAAAUUUUUACAUGGAGUCAGAAUAUCAAAGAAAUAUUUCUCUGACACUUAACAUAAGGCACACACAGGGGAAGGCUGGACAAGGGAGAGAUUGUGACUGUGGACAAAGGGGUGCAAAUUUUGCUCUUGCAAUUGAAGGAAAGGAGAAAAUUCUCUUACAAAGACGCCUCUCACAACUCAGAUCCUACAACAUGGGAUGUAUGUCCUGCUUUCCCCACCAGGCUUUACUCUUGACUCUGCUAUUCAAAUCCCAGCACCUGUGAUGACGCAAGGCUUCAGAAAAAAAGCCUCUGCAUGAGAGCAUCCACAGAGUCCCACGCAGUUCUGGUUUGACGUUACCUCUCUCAGGGCACUAGACAUCAAAUUGACCCGGCUCCCAAGCUAUGGCAGGAAACAAACAAGCAUCCUGGGUGGGUUUAGAUGGAGAUGGAGGAGCUACAGCUCUUCUCUGCAGCACCGCAUGGUGGGUUUGCAGGCUGCAGGCCUGCUAGGGGUGCUUUCAUGGAGGAGUUUCCUGCAUAAAGCACAGCUGUAGGAGCCCAUCCUGUGCCCUGCUGCACACCUUGGCAUGAGCCGUCCGAUGCCCGGAGCUGCUCUGAGCUGUCAGCCACCUCCUGUGGCACAGGCAGAUGUGCAAGUGGAGCUUUUCACCUAAGAAUGGUUACCACGAGCAGGAAGCAAGUCAAUGAAAACUCCAGGCCAUAGCCAAAUAACCUAAAAAUCAACAUUGCUGGGGCAAUUGUGGUCUAGGACAAGCAUCAUAAGCCUCUGCAUCGCUUCAUGUACACCACACGUAGCACAGCAGGUACUGGCCACUGGGCAAAAGUAUGGAAAAUAUAUACAUUAGUGCUGACUAGCUUCUGAAAAACACUGACCUUUUAACCAGUUAAGCUGUAAACAAAACAUUAAAAAAAUCAUUCUGGUUUGAAGUGUGCAUGAAGUACGUUCCUUAAAAGGUAAAGACCAGUGUGUGCUUUGCAAUGAGAACUUAAAAGCCCUUAGAUGUAUUAAUUGUACCUCAAAACCUCUUUGAGGUAAGUAUAUUGAAUAUAACACAUAUAAGAAAGAGAGAUAUAUAAUGUCCACAUUUUAUGAAAGUACAGAAUCAUACACAGACUCUGCCAUAUGCCAACAGCUCAGCCCAGGCAGGAUUUAGACCUGAGGACCUGGGCUCAUAGCUCCCUCUCAUCUUUGACAGACAGCAAUGUCUCUAACAUUGGGGAAAACAAACAAACAAAAAAAUCAGAUCCCAAAGAAUGCAAAAAGAAAUGAUAUGGAAACUUGUGCUGACAAACAUAAAGCAAAGUUGAAAAUACACACGCGAAAAGCCUUUGCAUAAAGUUUAUGAUCACGCUUAGGCUGAACAGAAUUUUUUGGUAGUGAUUUACUUUUCAGUAUCCAAAGUGUUUCUUCUCUUCACGAAUGAAUAGGAGCAGAGCAACUGGCCUUUGCAAGCAACUAUAAGGUUUUUUGUUUUUUUUCCUUCAAAGGUAUGAGGAAUUUUCUCUGUCCUUCAAGGUACAAGCAUCGCCUCACCCUGAUGAAGUUUCAAGAUGUAUCUAUUUUGUUAAAAAGAGUGGACUCUCUAAUAAAUGAAUUACUCAGAAUCACACAAUACUGUAUUAAUAUUAAUCGAUUCAUACAAACAUUAAAAUGUAAAGUCAAUGAACA